RNAcentral lists this Y RNA (105 nucleotides) under Prolemur simus (greater bamboo lemur). Its description in RNAcentral is "Y RNA (ENSPSMG00000015566.1)". It matches the Rfam family "Y RNA". From Rfam's summary of the family: Y RNAs are components of the Ro ribonucleoprotein particle (Ro RNP), in association with Ro60 and La proteins. The Y RNAs and Ro60 and La proteins are well conserved, but the function of the Ro RNP is not known. Lineage: Eukaryota; Metazoa; Chordata; Mammalia; Primates; Lemuridae. The record is from Rfam by way of RNAcentral.
GGUUGGUCCUCCGAGUGCAGUGGUGUUUACAACUAAUUGAUCACAACCAGUUACAGAUUCCUUUGUUCCUUCUCCACUCCCACUGCUUCACUUGACCAGUCUUAA